GCACAGGGAGAUGCCAUGAUCAUGAAAGUGGUUUUCCCAGAGGGAGGCUUAUCCAUUGUUAUCUGGAUGUGCUGACCCCUGCGAUUUCCCCAAAUGUGAGAAACUCAGCUGCCUAAUUCGUGGUCGUGGGGGCUGUGUUUGUGCUUUAUCCUA
RNAcentral lists this small nuclear RNA (153 nucleotides) under Neogale vison (American mink). RNAcentral's name for it is "Neovison vison (American mink) U1 spliceosomal RNA (ENSNVIG00000013834.1)". It matches the Rfam family "U1 spliceosomal RNA". Rfam says of the family: U1 is a small nuclear RNA (snRNA) component of the spliceosome (involved in pre-mRNA splicing). The record is from RNAcentral. Lineage: Eukaryota; Metazoa; Chordata; Mammalia; Carnivora; Mustelidae.